This 160-nucleotide ribosomal RNA is filed under the name Arthrobacter sp. TPD3018. RNAcentral describes it as "partial 16S ribosomal RNA". It matches the Rfam family "Bacterial small subunit ribosomal RNA", at positions 1 to 170 of the family's 1533-position model. Lineage: Bacteria; Bacillati; Actinomycetota; Actinomycetes; Micrococcales; Micrococcaceae. The record is from RNAcentral.
AAACUUGAGAGUUUGAUCAUGGCUCAGAACGAACGCUGGCGGCAUGCCUAACACAUGCAAGUCGAACGAGUGCCUUCGGGUGCUAGUGGCGCACGGGUGCGUAACGCGUGGGAAUCUGCCCUUUGGUUCGGAAUAACAGUUGGAAACGACUGCUAAUACC